RNAcentral lists this ribosomal RNA (320 nucleotides) under Bifidobacterium pseudocatenulatum. RNAcentral describes it as "bacterial SSU rRNA". It matches the Rfam family "Bacterial small subunit ribosomal RNA", at positions 56 to 353 of the family's 1533-position model. Lineage: Bacteria; Bacillati; Actinomycetota; Actinomycetes; Bifidobacteriales; Bifidobacteriaceae. The record is from RNAcentral.
GGGCGUUUCUGCAGUCGACGGGAUCCAUCAGGCUUUGCUUGGUGGUGAGAGUGGCGAACGGGUGAGUAAUGCGUGACCGACCUGCCCCAUACACCGGAAUAGCUCCUGGAAACGGGUGGUAAUGCCGGAUGCUCCGACUCCUCGCAUGGGGUGUCGGGAAAGAUUUCAUCGGUAUGGGAUGGGGUCGCGUCCUAUCAGGUAGUCGGCGGGGUAACGGCCCACCGAGCCUACGACGGGUAGCCGGCCUGAGAGGGCGACCGGCCACAUUGGGACUGAGAUACGGCCCAGACUCCUACGGGAGGCAGCAGUAGGAGUGUCUG